GAUCCUGGCUCAGGAUGAACGCUAGCGGCAGGCUUAACACAUGCAAGUCGAGGGGCAGCGGAUGUAGCAAUACAUUGCCGGCGACCGGCGGAUGGGUGCGUAACGCGUAUGCAACCUACCUUAUACAGGGGAAUAACCUUUCGAAAGGGAGACUAACACCCCAUAGUAUUGAUUUAAGGCAUCUUAGAUUAAUUAAAUAUUUAUAGGUAUAAGAUGGGCAUGCGUAUGAUUAGCUAGUUGGUAAGGUAACGGCUUACCAAGGCGACGAUCAUUAGGGGUUCUGAGAGGAAGGUCCCCCACACUGGUACUGAGACACGGACCAGACUCCUACGGGAGGCAGCAGUGAGGAAUAUUGGUCAAUGGGCGCAAGCCUGAACCAGCCAUGCCGCGUGCAGGAAGACGGCCUUAUGGGUUGUAAACUGCUUUUACAUAAGACUAACCGUAUAUUUGCGAAUAUACCUGAAUGUAUUAUGAGAAUAAGGAUCGGCUAACUCCGUGCCAGCCGCUGC
This 509-nucleotide ribosomal RNA is filed under the name uncultured bacterium. RNAcentral's name for it is "bacterial SSU rRNA". It matches the Rfam family "Bacterial small subunit ribosomal RNA", at positions 15 to 518 of the family's 1533-position model. The record is from RNAcentral.